AACAAGGUUUCCGUAGGUGAACCUGCGGAAGGAUUCAUUG
RNAcentral lists this ribosomal RNA (40 nucleotides) under Oxalis bifrons. RNAcentral describes it as "partial 18S ribosomal RNA". The record is from RNAcentral. Lineage: Eukaryota; Viridiplantae; Streptophyta; Magnoliopsida; Oxalidales; Oxalidaceae.